UGGGGAAUUUUGGACAAUGGGCGAAAGCCUGAUCCAGCAAUGCCGCGUGUGUGAAGAAGGCCUUCGGGUUGUAAAGCACUUUUGUCCGGAAAGAAAUCCUUGGCUCUAAUACAGUCGGGGGAUGACGGUACCGGAAGAAUAAGCACCGGCUAACUACGUGCCAGCAGCCGCGGUAAUACGUAGGGUGCAAGCGUUAAUCGGAAUUACUGGGCGUAAAGCGUGCGCAGGCGGUUUGCUAAGACCGAUGUGAAAUCCCCGGGCUCAACCUGGGAACUGCAUUGGUGACUGGCAGGCUAGAGUAUGGCAGAGGGGGGUAGAAUUCUACGUGUAGCAGUGAAAUGCGUAGAGAUGUGGAGGAAUACCGAUGGCGAAGGCAGCCCCCUGGGCCAAUACUGACGCUCAUGCACGAAAGCGUGGGGAGCAAACAGGAUUAGAUACCCUGGUAGUCCACGCCCUAAACGAUGUCAACUAGUUGUUGGGGAUUCAUUUCCUUAGUAACGUAGCUAACGCGUGAAGUUGACCGCCUGGGGAGUACGGUCGCAAGAUUAAAACUCAAAGGAAUUGAC
Molecule: ribosomal RNA, 566 nt
Filed under: uncultured bacterium
Lineage: Bacteria
Description: partial 16S ribosomal RNA
Rfam family: Bacterial small subunit ribosomal RNA
Source: RNAcentral